RNAcentral lists this transfer RNA (64 nucleotides) under Dipodomys ordii (Ord's kangaroo rat). It matches the Rfam family "tRNA". From Rfam's summary of the family: Transfer RNA (tRNA) molecules are approximately 80 nucleotides in length. Their secondary structure includes four short double-helical elements and three loops (D, anti-codon, and T loops). Further hydrogen bonds mediate the characteristic L-shaped molecular structure. tRNAs have two regions of fundamental functional importance: the anti-codon, which is responsible for specific mRNA codon recognition, and the 3' end, to which the tRNAs corresponding amino acid is attached (by aminoacyl-tRNA synthetases). tRNAs cope with the degeneracy of the genetic code in two manners: having more than one tRNA (with a specific anti-codon) for a particular amino acid; and 'wobble' base-pairing, i.e. permitting non-standard base-pairing at the 3rd anti-codon position. Lineage: Eukaryota; Metazoa; Chordata; Mammalia; Rodentia; Heteromyidae. The record is from Rfam by way of RNAcentral.
GGUGGCUCACUGGUAGAGCGCUUGCCUUGCAUGUAUGAGCCCUGGGUUCGAAUCCUCAGCACCA